This 513-nucleotide ribosomal RNA is filed under the name uncultured bacterium. Its description in RNAcentral is "partial 16S ribosomal RNA". It matches the Rfam family "Bacterial small subunit ribosomal RNA", at positions 28 to 523 of the family's 1533-position model. The record is from RNAcentral.
GAUGAACGCUGGCGGCGUGCCUAAUACAUGCAAGUCGAGCGAACAGAUGAGAAGCUUGCUUCUCUGAUGUUAGCGGCGGACGGGUGAGUAACACGUGGUAACCUACCUAUAAGACUGGGAUAACUCCGGGAAACCGGGGCUAAUACCGGAUAAUAUAUUGAACCGCAUGGUUCAAUGUUGAAAGACGGUUUCGGCUGUCACUUAUAGAUGGACCCGCGCCGUAUUAGCUAGUUGGUAAGGUAACGGCUUACCAAGGCAACGAUACGUAGCCGACCUGAGAGGGUGAUCGGCCACACUGGAACUGAGACACGGUCCAGACUCCUACGGGAGGCAGCAGUAGGGAAUCUUCCGCAAUGGGCGAAAGCCUGGCGGAGCAACGCCGCGUGAGUGAUGAAGGUCUUAGGAUCGUAAAACUCUGUUGUUAGGGAAGAACAAAUUUGUUAGUAACUGAACAAGUCUUGACGGUACCUAACCAGAAAGCCACGGCUAACUACGUGCCAGCCGCCGCGGUAA